GGGCAUUUCCGUCAUUACACUGUCCUUAGCUACAGUGUUUAGUUGCAUUGGGCUUUAGUAUAUAUAAAUUUUUUCACUAACCCUCUUAGACUCACUCACGAAACCCUACACUAUUUCUCUCCCGAUCUGAGACUAACCCUACCUCAUCGGCCGCCAUCUCUAUCGCGCGCUCUCUCUGUCUCUCUGUCUCUCUCUCAACUCGUCUCUAUCGCGCUCGCUCUCUCUCUCUCUCUCUCUCUCUCUCUCUCUCUCUCUCUCUUAGUCACAUCUUUAAGUCUCUUAGGGGUCGUUUGGUACACAGGCUUGGCUUGGACUGGAUUGGACUAAAUUUAGUAUCAUGUUUGUUUCAUUUAAUUCUAGUCUUAGAUGGGAUUGCAGAUACCGGGCCCACCAAAAAUACCUCACUAGGAGGGGACUACUAAACCCAUGUAGAAAGGGAGGAUUAGCUAGUCCUAUGUUCACCAAUAUAUAAGAUGCAUAUAUUAUAUUGUAAUACUAAUAACAUAUAUUAUUAUUAUUAUUAUUAUUAUUAUUAUUAUUAUUAUUACAUACACAUAUACUAUAAUGUACAUAUAUACAUGUAUAUACACAUAUACAUGUAUAUAUAUAAAUACAUAUAUACAUAUAUAAUAUAUAUAAAUACAUAUAGAUAUAUACACAUAUAUUAUUAUUAUAAUAUACUCAUAUACACAUACAUAUUAAUAUUAUAAUAAUACAUACAUGUAUACAUGUAUAUAUGUAAUAUAUAUUAUAUUAUAUAUUAAUGUACAUAUAUACACGUAUAUACAUAUAUAUAUAUAAACACAUAUAUACAUAUAUAAUAUAUAAAUACAUAUAGAUAUAUACACGUAUAUUAUUAUUAUAAUAUACUCAUAUACAAAUACAUAUUAAUAUUAUAAUAAUAGCAUACAUGUAUAUAUGUAAUAUAUAUAUAAGUAUAUAUACAUAUAUGUGUAUAUAUAUUAUACCCAUGUAUGUAUUAUAAUAUACAUAUACACACGUAUAUACACAUAUACAUUAUAUAUUUAUACUAUAUGUAUAUAUAUUAUAAUAUACAUAUAUACAUGUAUAUUAUUAUUAUAACAUACCCAUAUAUAUUAUCUAUUAUAAUAUACAUAUAUAUGUAUAUGUAUUAUACCCAUGUAUAUAUUAUAAUAUAUAGAUACACCUAUAUACACAUAUAUUAUAUACAUGUAUAUACGUAUAUAUAUAUGUAUAUUAUAAUAUAUAAUAUAUAUACAUAUAUUAUAUAUACAUAUGUAUUUUAUAAUAUAUAUAAUGUAUAUGUAUAUAUAAAUACAUAUAUAAUAUACAUAUAUACACUUAUAUACAUGUAUAUUAUUAUUAUUAUUAUAACAUACCCAUAUAUAUUAUAUAUAUUAUAUUAUACAUACAUAUAUAUAAAUAUAUGUAUAUGUAUUAUACCCAUGUAUAUUAUAAUAUACAUAUAUACACCUAUAUACACUUAUAUAUAUAUAUGUAUGUACGUUUAUAUUAUUUAAAAUAUAUAAUAUUAUUAUAAUAUACUUAUAUACAUGUAUAUAUACAUAUAUAUAUUAUAUGUAUGUAUAUAUACAUAUAUAUUAUAUAUAUUAUAAAAUACAUAUAUACAUAUAUAUAUAGAUAUUUUUGAAAACAUAAAAAAAAUUCUAAUCAUAGUCCAAGCAUACACCAAACGCAGGAUAAGUGUUAUCCAACUUAGACCAAGCCAAGCCAAGCCAAACCAGUCCCUAAACAUAGUCCAUGCCAAGACAGUCCUGUGUACCAAACGAGCCCUUAGAGACGCGAGACUCAUUCUCUUUCUCCAAACCUAACCAAACAUCAAUCCAAUAUCAUUGAUUUUUGGAGCGAAUCCUUGUAAAUUUUGGAGGGCUCUGGUUCAUUCUAAGGUAAUUUGUAUGUAUUUGGUUUGGAUUCUUAGUUGUUUUCAUUUUCCCUAAUUUAGUAGAUUAUUAGGGUUUCGAAAUUUUGGUAUUCUGUUGAAAUUAACGCAAUUUUUUCUUAAUUUUGCAGUUGUUGUGCUUAGUCUCUGUGGGUUUGGAUUAAUAGGCAAAAUUGAAGGUAUAAAUAUUUCUAUCUCAAUCUCUGUGUGUGGCUUAAAAGGAAUGGGAGAAUUAGAAUUAUAUAUUUUUAAAUCAUCAGCUCCACAUGGCUUUACUCUAGAUGUAUGGAUUUUUGGUAUUUUCUUUCUUUAUGUGAAUAUGAUCUGACCUUCAAUUUUAAUCUUCCUGUGUUCUGUUUGUUCUGCAGAUUGUUGCGUUGCAGCUUUCUGGUAAGCACUCUUAUACUAUGACAUUUUCAUGUCAAUGAUUUCAUUGUAUACUCUGUUCAAUUUUUCUGUACUCAGUGUUGUGAAUUAUCUAAUUUGUUCUUUGUAACAUGAUCACAGUGGUCCGAAGUGCCUCGAAUUGUGUCUUUGGACUGAGGUAUCGUAUUAAUAUAAUUGAUUUCGAUGUGAUAAAAUUUAUGAAUAAAUUAGCAAUGUGGUUUUCAUCAAUUUGAAAGAUGAAAUUCAGGCUUAGCUUUGCCCUUCUGCACUCUAUUACUACAUUUUCCUAGACGUAGACAUACAUGGAAUUUAGUUUUGUUUAUGUUUGGAUGCUUUCUUUAUUGUUUUCAGAUUUAAUUUCUGAUUUUUUUAUCUGUGUAUUUUAGGCUCGAUUGUUAGCCUUGAAUCUGUUUCAAUUUAUUUAAUUGAGUUGUCUUGAAUCUGUAUUUUUGGCAUGAAUCUACUUAACUUGUUGUUGAUUAAAUGCAUUCAUUCUUUUAUUUGUUUUCUCCCUUUUUUCCUUAUGUAGCAUGUUUGUGUUAGUAUCUUAUUGAUGAAUGAAUGCUAAUAUUUGGGUUAAUUAGUUUUUUUAUUGAAUAAUUAUUUAUUGAUUGAAUGACUGGUCUAUAUUUGUUUUUCAAAGGUUUAGAUUCUGUCAUUUUGUGCUGAACUAAUCAUUUCCUGCUAUGAUAUUCUAUAGUUGUGAUAUUUGAUCAGGAUGCAGGUUUGACACUUUGUCGAAUUGGAACAAUGAUGAUGGAGAAGCCAUGGGAGCUGCAAAACAUGUUUUGUUUGCAGCUCCCUUAACUGAUACAAGUGAAUAUAUUUGGUGCUUUACCUUUUUUUUUUUUUGGUCAUGGGUUUUAAAAUUUAAUUUCGUAGUUUUAUGAUGAUUGUGAAAUUUAAUUUGAUAGUUUAGAUACUUUUAAAAAAAAAAAAAAAAAACAGGUUAUAGUUGAAUUUACAUAAUUUGGGCAAGGAAAACCUUUAAUUGAUGGGCUGCUUGAAAAACUGGUAUUGUUAAAAAAAUAAACAAUAUUGGGCUUUUGAAAAUUCAACAAUAUUGGGCUUUUGGAAAGAAAAAAAAAUUGAUUUUGGGCUCAACCCAGAACCGACUAAAAAACCAGAACCGAACCUUGUAUGUUCGGGUCGGCCCAACUUCGGGUUUCAUUUUUGACCCGAUCCAACUCGAGAACCGCAGUAUUGGUCGGUUUGGCCCAUGGGUCAGUAAAAAUUUGACCUCGUGCUUCCUUCGUUAUCUCUCUAUGCAACGGUGCAAGCAGAAUUUGAAAGAAAGACUCAC
RNAcentral lists this long non-coding RNA (3572 nucleotides) under Prunus persica (peach). Its description in RNAcentral is "long non-coding RNA (PPER_LNC006662)". Lineage: Eukaryota; Viridiplantae; Streptophyta; Magnoliopsida; Rosales; Rosaceae. The record is from RNAcentral.